This 329-nucleotide unclassified non-coding RNA is filed under the name soil metagenome. RNAcentral's name for it is "partial contains 5.8S ribosomal RNA, internal transcribed spacer 2, and large subunit ribosomal RNA". The stretch from base 1 to 120 matches the Rfam family "5.8S ribosomal RNA", at positions 35 to 154 of the family's 154-position model. The record is from RNAcentral.
GAUGAAGAACGUAGCAAAAUGCGAUAAGUAAUGUGAAUUGCAGAAUUCAGUGAAUCAUCGAAUCUUUGAACGCACAUUGCGCCCCCUGGUAUUCCGGGGGGCAUGCCUGUCCGAGCGUCAUUACAACCCUCAAGCUCAGCUUGGUAUUGGGCCCCGCCGCUCCGGCGGGCCCUAAAGUCAGUGGCGGUGCCGUCCGGCUCCGAGCGUAGUAAUUCUUCUCGCUCUGGAGGUCCGGUCGUGUGCUCGCCAGCAACCCCCAAUUUUUUUCAGGUUGACCUCGGAUCAGGUAGGGAUACCCGCUGAACUUAAGCAUAUCAAUAAGCGGAGGA